UACGUAGGGUGCGAGCGUUGUCCGGAAUUACUGGGCGUAAAGAGCUCGUAGGUGGUUUGUCGCGUUGUUCGUGAAAACCUGAGGCUUAACCUUGGGCGUGCGGGCGAUACGGGCAGACUGGAGUACUGCAGGGGAGACUGGAAUUCCUGGUGUAGCGGUGGAAUGCGCAGAUAUCAGGAGGAACACCGGUGGCGAAGGCGGGUCUCUGGGCAGUAACUGACGCUGAGGAGCGAAAGCGUGGGGAGCAAAAGGG
RNAcentral lists this ribosomal RNA (253 nucleotides) under uncultured bacterium. RNAcentral's name for it is "partial 16S ribosomal RNA". It matches the Rfam family "Bacterial small subunit ribosomal RNA", at positions 524 to 776 of the family's 1533-position model. The record is from RNAcentral.